CAGAUGUCAUUUUGCAUUACAUUUUAGAAGCCAAUAGACUGAAUGCUACAUGUGUGGCUGUGCAAUGGAUGUGUGGAUGUCUCUUAUGCAGAUUUGAAUGGGGCAGGUCAACCAACAUUAGGAAUAGGACGUAAGCUAUGUUACAUUCCAGGCAUCACAAUUUAAGAAAGAUGAGCUGGAAUGUGUCCAUAAGAUGGCAACCAGGAUGAUAAAAGUUACAGCAAUCAAGCCUUAUGAAGAAUGGCUGACAGAGCAGUGUAUGUUGAGCCUGGAAAAGAGAAGACUGAUUAGCACUAUGAUAUCCACCUUUAUCUGUGGUUUUCUGCAAUCAUCAUUUGGUUGGACUUGAUGACUCUUGGAAUUGCUUCCAGCUUUACAGUUGUAUGGACUUGUGAUUCUGUUGCUCCUUCUUGCUGGUUUGGAGAAGAAAAAGAAGGAAAGAGCAGCAAAACCAAAAAGUACCAGCAAAUAACAGUGCUGAUGACCUGCUUCAAGAUGAGUAUGAUCCUGCUAAUUGCUCUGAAUCUGUGAGUGACUUUUAGUAUCAUUCAGUCGUAUACGACUAAAUGACUAAACAACAGCACAGUAUCUUGUUAGGAAAAACAGAUAUAUACUUCCUUCAAGAGACCCAUAUUAAACAAGGCAAAGAGAAGUAUUUGCAGCAAUUUAUUCAUCUUGUAGGAAGAGUAAAAAAGGAGGUUUGCUUAUGAUGUUAAGUAAUCCAAAUAUAGAAGUACUGAACAUAAAGAAAGAACAUUGUGGGAGAUGU
Molecule: non-coding RNA, 769 nt
Organism: Pogona vitticeps (central bearded dragon)
Lineage: Eukaryota; Metazoa; Chordata; Lepidosauria; Squamata; Agamidae
Source: RefSeq, a predicted model, not a curated record